GUUGUAUGGUUAAGUGACUAAGCGUACACGGUGGAUGCCUUGGCAGUCAGAGGCGAUGAAAGACGUAGUAACUUGCGAUAAGCCCAGAUUAGGUAGUAACAACCAUUUGAGUCUGGGAUUUCUGAAUGGGGAAACCCACGUGCAUAAGCACGUAUCCUUACCUGAAUACAUAGGGUAAGGAGGCGAACCGGGGGAACUGAAACAUCUAAGUACCCCGAGGAAAAGAAAUCAACCGAGAUUCCGAAAGUAGCGGCGAGCGAAAUUGGACUAGCCCUUAAGCUUUACACGCGUUAGACGAACGGUCUGGAAAGUCCGACGAUACAGGGUGAUAGUCCCGUAGUUGACGACGUGUGUUCAGUGAAAUCGAGUAGGGCGGGACACGUGAUAUCCUGUCUGAAUAUGGGGGGACCAUCCUCCAAGGCUAAAUACUACUGACUGACCGAUAGUGAACCAGUACCGUGAGGGAAAGGCGAAAAGAACCCCUGUGAGGGGAGUGAAAUAGAACCUGAAACCGUGUACGUACAAGCAGUAGGAGCAGGCUUUGUCCUGUGACUGCGUACCUUUUGUAUAAUGGGUCAGCGACUUAUAUUCAGUGGCAAGGUUAACCAUCUAGGGGAGCCGUAGGGAAACCGAGUCUUAACUGGGCGUUCAGUCUCUGGAUAUAGACCCGAAACCAGGUGAUCUAGCCAUGGGCAGGUUGAAGGUUGAGUAACAUCAACUGGAGGACCGAACCGACUAAUGUUGAAAAAUUAGCGGAUGACUUGUGGCUAGGGGUGAAAGGCCAAUCAAACCUGGAGAUAGCUGGUUCUCCCCGAAAGCUAUUUAGGUAGCGCCUCGGACGAAUACUACUGGGGGUAGAGCACUGUUAAGGCUAGGGGGUCAUCCCGACUUACCAACCCUUUGCAAACUCCGAAUACCAGUAAGUACUAUCCGGGAGACACACGGCGGGUGCUAACGUCCGUCGUGGAGAGGGAAACAACCCAGACCGCCAGCUAAGGUCCCAAAUUACUACUAAGUGGGAAACGAUGUGGGAAGGCUCAGACAGCCAGGAUGUUGGCUUAGAAGCAGCCAUCAUUUAAAGAAAGCGUAAUAGCUCACUGGUCGAGUCGGCCUGCGCGGAAGAUGUAACGGGGCUAAGUAGUAAACCGAAGCUGCGGCAAUAUACUUUUGUAUAUUGGGUAGGGGAGCGUUCUGUAAGCGGUUGAAGGUGUGUGGUAACGCAUGCUGGACGUAUCAGAAGUGCGAAUGCUGACAUGAGUAACGAUAAAGGGGGUGAAAAACCUCCUCGCCGGAAGACCAAGGGUUCCUGUCCAACGUUAAUCGGGGCAGGGUAAGUCGACCCCUAAGGCGAGGCCGAAAGGCGUAGUCGAUGGGAAACGGGUUAAUAUUCCCGUACUUCUUACAAUUGCGAUGGGGGGACGGAGAAGGCUAGGUGGGCCUGGCGACGGUUGUCCAGGUUCAAGUGCGUAGGCUGAGAGAUUAGGUAAAUCCGGUUUCUCUUAAGGCUGAGACACGACGUCGAGCACCUACGGGUGUGAAGUCAUUGAUGCCAUGCUUCCAGGAAAAGCCUCUAAGCUUCAGAUUGUAAGGAAUCGUACCCCAAACCGACACAGGUGGUCGGGUAGAGAAUACCAAGGCGCUUGAGAGAACUCGGGUGAAGGAACUAGGCAAAAUGGUACCGUAACUUCGGGAGAAGGUACGCUCUCGACGGUGAAGUCCCUUGCGGAUGGAGCUAUUGAGAGUCGCAGAUACCAGGUGGCUGCAACUGUUUAUUAAAAACACAGCACUGUGCAAAAUCGUAAGAUGACGUAUACGGUGUGACGCCUGCCCGGUGCCGGAAGGUUAAUUGAUGGGGUUAGACUUCGGUCGAAGCUCUUGAUCGAAGCCCCGGUAAACGGCGGCCGUAACUAUAACGGUCCUAAGGUAGCGAAAUUCCUUGUCGGGUAAGUUCCGACCUGCACGAAUGGCGUAAUGAUGGCCACGCUGUCUCCACCCGAGACUCAGUGAAAUUGAAAUCGCUGUGAAGAUGCAGUGUACCCGCGGCUAGACGGAAAGACCCCGUGAACCUUUACUACAGCUUGGCACUGAACAUUGACCCUACAUGUGUAGGAUAGGUGGGAGGCUUUGAAGCAAGUACGCCAGUAUUUGUGGAGCCGUCCUUGAAAUACCACCCUUGUAGUGUUGAUGUUCUAACGUCGACCCCUUAUCGGGGUUGCGGACAGUGCCUGGUGGGUAGUUUGACUGGGGCGGUCUCCUCCCAAAGAGUAACGGAGGAGCACGAAGGUGGGCUAAUCACGGUUGGACAUCGUGAGGUUAGUGCAAUGGCAUAAGCCCGCUUGACUGCGAGAAUGACAAUUCGAGCAGGUGCGAAAGCAGGUCAUAGUGAUCCGGUGGUUCUGAAUGGAAGGGCCAUCGCUCAACGGAUAAAAGGUACUCCGGGGAUAACAGGCUGAUACCGCCCAAGAGUUCAUAUCGACGGCGGUGUUUGGCACCUCGAUGUCGGCUCAUCACAUCCUGGGGCUGAAGUCGGUCCCAAGGGUAUGGCUGUUCGCCAUUUAAAGUGGUACGCGAGCUGGGUUUAGAACGUCGUGAGACAGUUCGGUCCCUAUCUGCCGUGGGCGUUGGAAGAUUGAAGGGGGCUGCUCCUAGUACGAGAGGACCGGAGUGGACGAACCUCUGGUGUUCGGGUUGUGUCGCCAGACGCAUUGCCCGGUAGCUAAGUUCGGAAUCGAUAACCGCUGAAAGCAUCUAAGCGGGAAGCGAGCCCUGAGAUGAGUCUUCCCUGAUACUUUAAGUAUCCUAAAGGGUUGUCGGAGACUACGACGUUGAUAGGUCAGGUGUGUAAGUGCUGUGAGGCAUUGAGCUAACUGAUACUAAUUGCCCGUGAGGCUUAACCAUACAACACCCAAGGGGUUU
This 2916-nucleotide ribosomal RNA is filed under the name Vibrio parahaemolyticus. RNAcentral's name for it is "bacterial LSU rRNA". It matches the Rfam family "Bacterial large subunit ribosomal RNA". The record is from RNAcentral. Lineage: Bacteria; Pseudomonadati; Pseudomonadota; Gammaproteobacteria; Vibrionales; Vibrionaceae.